Molecule: ribosomal RNA, 484 nt
Filed under: uncultured bacterium
Lineage: Bacteria
Description: partial 16S ribosomal RNA
Rfam family: Bacterial small subunit ribosomal RNA
Source: RNAcentral
GACGAACGCUGGCGGCGUGCUUAACACAUGCAAGUCGAACGAUGAACCCGGAGCUUGCUCCGGCGGAUUAGUGGCGAACGGGUGAGUAACACGUGAGUAACCUGCCCUUGACUCUGGGAUAACUGCUAGAAAUGGUAGCUAAUACCGGAUACGACCCUCGGUGGCAUCACCAGGGGGUGGAAAGAAUUUCGGUCAAGGAUGGACUCGCGGCCUAUCAGCUAGUUGGUGAGGUAACGGCUCACCAAGGCGAAGACGGGUAGCCGGCCUGCGAGGGUGACCGGCCACACUGGGACUGAGACACGGCCCAGACUCCUACGGGAGGCAGCAGUGGGGAAUAUUGCACAAUGGGCGCAAGCCUGAUGCAGCAACGCCGCGUGAAGGAUGACGGCCUUCGGGUUGUAAACCUCUUUUAGUAGGGAAGAAGCGAAAGUGACGGUACCUGCGGAAAAAGCACCGGCUAACUACGUGCCAGCAGCCGCCGUAA